CCCAACUCCCCACCUCAACUCCCACAUGCAUUAACAAAAAGACUCCUAAUUUCAGCUCCUCGUCAUCAAACCCUAAAGAAAUCAACCCAGUUCACAACCCUUCUCUUUCUCCAACACCUCCAUUAACAACCCAACAAAACAGAAACACCAAAAAAAAAACAAAAAAGGUCAAAUUUUGAGGAAUACCCUUUUCUUGUUUCUGUUGAAUAAACCAAAAAAGCAAAAAAGAUCAAAUUUUGAGGAGUAACCUUUACUUGUUUUUGUAGAAUAAGCAAAAGAAAAAAAAAAGAUCAAAUUUUGAGAUAUCCUGAAAAUUAGAGAAAUACCCUUUUCUUGUUUUUGCUGAAUAACUAGAUUUUAGCAAAGCUAAGCUAAGUUUGAGCUCAAGAAAAAAUCUUUUCUUGAGCAAUCACUGUCCUUGAAGAGAGAGAAAAUAAAGAGGUCUUUUUCUGUUUUUAUAGCACACCCGACCAAGCUAGACCUGAUAGCAGUAGAGAGAGAAACAAGAGAGAGAGAAGACUGUGUGUGUGUGUACAGAGAGGUUAAAUUAAUGGCUCAUUCUCUCUCUCUUUCUUGCUCCGUGUACUCUAUCAGAAUGAAGUUCAAGGAAAAUUGAAUCACAACCGUUGAUUGAACCGUACAUGAUGAAUUUUGACCGUUGAAUUGGGAAGUAUGAUAUGACAGGAGACAUGUGCCACCAUUCUUCAAUGGUCAUUGUCAGAGUACGGACCGUCCAAUAUAAUAUUGCACCUGAUCAAG
This 759-nucleotide long non-coding RNA is filed under the name Nicotiana benthamiana. RNAcentral's name for it is "long non-coding RNA (NBEN_LNC012787)". Lineage: Eukaryota; Viridiplantae; Streptophyta; Magnoliopsida; Solanales; Solanaceae. The record is from RNAcentral.